This 109-nucleotide ribosomal RNA is filed under the name Aeromonas caviae. The record is from RNAcentral. Lineage: Bacteria; Pseudomonadati; Pseudomonadota; Gammaproteobacteria; Aeromonadales; Aeromonadaceae.
UGGCGGCAAUAGCGCAGUGGAACCACCUGACCCCAUGCCGAACUCAGAAGUGAAACGCGGUAGCGCCGAUGGUAGUGUGGCAUUCGCCAUGCGAGAGUAGGACACUGUC